This 2053-nucleotide small RNA is filed under the name Pan troglodytes (chimpanzee). RNAcentral describes it as "retained intron". The record is from RNAcentral. Lineage: Eukaryota; Metazoa; Chordata; Mammalia; Primates; Hominidae.
AGUGUGAUCCCCUGGCCAGUCCCUAAGCACGUGGGUUGGGUUGUCCUGCUUGGCUGCGGAGGGAGUGGAACCUCGAUAUUGGUGGUGUCCAUCGUGGGCAGCGGACUAAUAAAGGCCAUGGCGCCAGCAGAAAUCCUGAACGGGAAGGAGAUCUCCGCGCAAAUAAGGGCGAGACUGAAAAAUCAAGUCACUCAGUUGAAGGAGCAAGUACCUGGUUUCACACCACGCCUGGCAAUAUUACAGAUUGGGAUCAAAGCCACUCACAUUAAGUUACCAAGAACAACCACAGAAUCUGAGGUGAUGAAGUACAUUACAUCUUUGAAUGAAGACUCUACUGUACAUGGGUUCUUAGUGCAGCUACCUUUAGAUUCAGAGAAUUCCAUUAACACUGAAGAAGUGAUCAAUGCUAUUGCACCCGAGAAGGAUGUGGAUGGAUUGACUAGCAUCAAUGCUGGGAAACUUGCUAGAGGUGACCUCAAUGACUGUUUCAUUCCUUGUACGCCUAAGGGAUGCUUGGAACUCAUCAAAGAGACAGGGGUGCCGAUUGCCGGAAGGCAUGCUGUGGUGGUUGGGCGCAGUAAAAUAGUUGGGGCCCCGAUGCAUGACUUGCUUCUGUGGAACAAUGCCACAGUGACCACCUGCCACUCCAAGACUGCCAAUCUGGAUGAGGAGGUAAAUAAAGGUGACAUCCUGGUGGUUGCAACUGGUCAGCCUGAAAUGGUUAAAGGGGAGUGGAUCAAACCUGGGGCAAUAGUCAUCGACUGUGGAAUCAAUUAUGUCCCAGAUGAUAAAAAACCAAAUGGGAGAAAAGUUGUGGGUGAUGUGGCAUACGACGAGGCCAAAGAGAGGGCGAGCUUCAUCACUCCUGUUCCUGGCGGCGUAGGGCCCAUGACAGUUGCAAUGCUCAUGCAGAGCACAGUAGAGAGUGCCAAGCGUUUCCUGGAGAAAUUUAAGCCAGGAAAGUGGAUGAUUCAGUAUAACAACCUUAACCUCAAGACACCUGUUCCAAGUGACAUUGAUAUAUCACGAUCUUGUAAACCGAAGCCCAUUGGUAAGCUGGCUCGAGAAAUUGGUCUGCUGUCUGAAGAGGUAGAAUUAUAUGGUGAAACAAAGGCCAAAGUUCUGCUGUCAGCACUAGAACGCCUGAAGCACCGGCCUGAUGGGAAAUACGUGGUGGUGACUGGAAUAACUCCAACACCCCUGGGAGAAGGGAAAAGCACAACUACAAUCGGGCUAGUGCAAGCCCUUGGUGCCCAUCUCUACCAGAAUGUCUUUGCGUGUGUGCGACAGCCUUCUCAGGGCCCCACCUUUGGAAUAAAAGGUGGCGCUGCAGGAGGCGGCUACUCCCAGGUCAUUCCUAUGGAAGAGUUUAAUCUCCACCUCACAGGUGACAUCCAUGCCAUCACUGCAGCUAAUAACCUCGUUGCUGCGGCCAUUGAUGCUCGGAUAUUUCAUGAACUGACCCAGACAGACAAGGCUCUCUUUAAUCGUUUGGUGCCAUCAGUAGAUGGAGUGAGAAGGUUCUCUGACAUCCAAAUCCGAAGGUUAAAGAGACUAGGCAUUGAAAAGACUGACCCUACCACACUGACAGAUGAAGAGAUAAACAGAUUUGCAAGAUUGGACAUUGAUCCAGAAACCAUAACUUGGCAAAGAGUGUUGGAUACCAAUGAUAGAUUCCUGAGGAAGAUCACGAUUGGACAGGCUCCAACGGAGAAGGGUCACACACGGACGGCCCAGUUUGAUAUCUCUGUGGCCAGUGAAAUUAUGGCUGUCCUGGCUCUCACCACUUCUCUAGAAGACAUGAGAGAGAGACUGGGCAAAAUGGUGGUGGCAUCCAGUAAGAAAGGAGAGCCCGUCAGUGCCGAAGAUCUGGUGGGUACCCAGACACGCCAGGCUUGGCGACAUAUCUGUGUCUGUUGUCCUAGGGUCUUUCAGCAGUUAUUAAUAACAAAAUGUAAUGCUGUACUUAAGACAUUGCAAUUAAUUCAUCAAUUUAAUCCUAUUUUGCUAAUUACAAGAUAAUUAUGAAAUGUUUAAAAAGUACAUCAGAGUG